RNAcentral lists this unclassified non-coding RNA (322 nucleotides) under soil metagenome. Its description in RNAcentral is "partial contains 5.8S ribosomal RNA, internal transcribed spacer 2, and large subunit ribosomal RNA". The stretch from base 1 to 120 matches the Rfam family "5.8S ribosomal RNA", at positions 35 to 154 of the family's 154-position model. The record is from RNAcentral.
GAUGAAGAACGUAGCGAAAUGCGAUAAGUAAUGUGAAUUGCAGAAUUCAGUGAAUCAUCGAAUCUUUGAACGCACAUUGCGCCCCUUGGUAUUCCGAGGGGCAUGCCUGUUCGAGCGUCAUUUGACCAAUCAAGCCUGGCUUGGUAUUGGGGCUCGCUCUCCAGCGUCCUCUAAACACAGUGGCGGUGCCGUUAGGCUCUAAGCGUAGUAAUUCUUCUCGCUAUAUGGUCUUGCGGUUGCUUGCCAUAACCCAAAUUUUUAAGGUUGACCUCGGAUCAGGUAGGGAUACCCGCUGAACUUAAGCAUAUCAAUAAGCGGAGGA